UCAACUGUCUCUCGACGUAGACCUUCCCUUACUUCCUAAAGUAUACCUGACAUUUGUUUUCGAAAGGCUUCAUGCACUACUAGAUCAAACGCUUCUUUGUUUGUUUGUCGUUGAAUUUCAAAAAUAUUCGAACUUGUGUUAUGUGAAGUCACCGUAUUAGGAUUUGAUGGUAGUGGCAUUGGAUCACUUACUCUUGUUCCAAGCACACAACCUAUCUUUCUUCCCUCAGUAGCUUUCACCCAUAAUUCUAGAUUACCUGGCCGGGAACGUGUGUGAUCCGCUUGAUAAGUGUGUUUGAUCGUUACUCUGUUUCUCAUCAGUAACAACAAUAGAGAAAGCUGCAUUCAUAGAGGGAAUUUCUUUCCCUGCCAAUAUCUGGCUUCUUAUGUUCAAGAAUUCUUCAUUCAGACCAAGAAGAAAUUUAACAACUUUAUCUUGCUCAAUUUCUUCCUCCCAUAUCUGAAUAGCACCACAGAUAUAUACUGUUGGAUCGAGAUCCGAGACUAUAAAGGGGGAUAAUAGCCUCUUUUCGAUUUAUGCAGAUUAAUAGCGGAAUUACCUUCACACACUUAAGUACACAAAUGGUUGUAUAAUAAAAUAGUAUAAUAUUGUUAGCAAUAUAAUACUAUUAUAUGAUUUUAAAGAAUAUAAUAUUAUAUCUUAUAAUAUUAUAUAUAUUGGACUUGCCUUUUGCUCUUGAAGUUUACUACAGUAUAUGAAUACGUAGUCAACUUUUCAGACGGUGUUUUAUAAACAACUAUAGUAUAUGAAUACUAAGUUAUAUUAUAAACACAAGUUAUAUUAUAGAGUAAAUGACCAGAUAACUGGAUAUAUAUUUGAUAAGCAAGAUAUGACCAGAUAACUGGAUAUAUAUAUGAUAAGUAAAUGCUUGAACAAAUAUAUGAAUAAAGAUUUAAAGCAAUGAAUAUAACCUCAGAUAGUUGACCAGAUAACUGGAUGAGGGAUCUGCGUAAAGUAGUCAACCUCUGUAUUUGACCAGAUAACUGGAAGAGGGAUCCUUUUCAAUUAAGUGUUGUUUAGUUGUUUUUAGAUGAAAGAUAAAAACUAAAGUUAACAAAGAACAACACAAGAGAUUUAUACUGGUUCACCCAAACAAGGGCUAAUCCAGUCCCGAUCAACUGUCGGAAUUCACUCGCCUAAAGAUUAUGGCAAAACCUUAGAGUAUCAAGGAAACUCUUAAGAACCUUUUUAAGCUUUAAGGCUACUUCGCUUAGGAACCAGUCUUUUACGGGUAGACUCACACCUUAGAGUAUCAAGGGCACUCUUAAGAAACUCUAACUUUUGCGGGUAAGUUAGUACCUUAGAGUAUCAAGGAACUCUUAAAAACCUCUCUAAGUUUUAAGGCUAACUUUGCUUAGAAACCAGUCUUUUACGGAUAGACUCACACCUUAGAGUAUCAAGGGCACUCUUAAGAACCUCUAACUUUUACGGGUAAGUUAGUACCUUAGAGUAUCAAGGAACUCUUAAAAACCUAAAAAUCUUUCAAGGUAGAUUCGACCUAAGAGUUUUCCCGAAAAUUUUAUAAAACCAAACUAGAGCUUUAUAGUUGAGCUCGAAAACCUUCUCUCACACUUUGGUACUAUUGAGACAACCUUCUCAACCAAAGUGGACACACACACUAGGUGAUUAGAGGAGUGAAAUAUUAAAGCAAACAACACUUCUUACUUGUAAAGAUGAACAAGAAGAUUAGAAGAAGAAGUUGGAGAGCUUUUGAAGCUUUGGAAAGCUAAGACACUUGAGCACUUGAAAGCUUGGAAGCUUGAAGGCAAAAACGUGUGGGCAAGUGUGGAGUGAAAGCUCUUGAGUUUGCUUGUAGUGUAGUAAGUGAAAAUGAGGGGAUUACCCUUCUAUUUAUAGCCUUGGCCACUCAAUGUCCACCCUUGGAUCUUCAAUGGAUGGCUCCUUGAUUUCUCACAUAAAUCCAAGCUUUGUCUUUGAUCUUAUCUUGAAUAGUGUUUUUCUUGGAUAGAGUUUGUUGGAGAAUCUUAUCUUUGUAUAAAUUCAAACUUGAA
RNAcentral lists this long non-coding RNA (2033 nucleotides) under Zostera marina. RNAcentral describes it as "long non-coding RNA (ZMAR_LNC003156)". Lineage: Eukaryota; Viridiplantae; Streptophyta; Magnoliopsida; Alismatales; Zosteraceae. The record is from RNAcentral.